AACCCAUGAGUUGGGCACUCUAUGUAAGUGACUCUUAAACCUCAUCCACGUUUCAUGGAUGGGUUCACCCUCUCCUCGCUUGAAACCUUUAAUGUCAUUUCUAAGUUU
This is a non-coding RNA of Solanum lycopersicum (tomato), 108 nucleotides long. NCBI's taxonomy places the organism in Eukaryota, Viridiplantae, Streptophyta, Magnoliopsida, Solanales, Solanaceae. The record is from Rfam.